CUCGGGAGCGCGCGGCGCUGGGACCGCAGCCCGCGGUCCUUAAUAAACAGCCGAGCGACGGUGCGGAACGUGCUGCGUUCUUCUGGAGCGCGUUCCCGUCUCCUGACGCGCUCGGACGCCGAGGCGAUCCGCGGCCGAGGAGAGUCCCGUCGGUAGCGGACGUUGUAUGGUUCGGCCGUGCCGUCCCGGCUGAGCCGAGCGGGGCGGUGUCACUGCGGCCUCCCCCGGGGCUGCUGCCCAUGCACCCAAACGUGCUCGCAGUGACCUCGCGAAGGAGUCCUGAAGUGUGCGGGCAGGAAGAGGGCAACUGGGAAAUCGUGAGAGCCCUUACGGCUGCUGGGUGCCUCAGGGCGGCGUUGGGAAGAACGCGGCGUGAGUUUUCUUCCAGCUUCAGGCUCACCGUGAUGCUCAUCUCACCUUCCCGUGCAAGCAGAGCGCAGGGCUCACCUCUGCCAUCUUUUCCAUGCAGUGCAAAGGAAGCUGAAUGCACCAUCAGCCAUUUCCAGCACACCAUAAGAGCCCCGUGGCUCCCACGGCCUCCUUGGGCAACCUGUGUUCACCGCACGGCUUCUGUGGGAAGAUCCAUACGGAUAAGGGAGCAUGGGAAGGACCUCAGAGGACACGUACCCCACAGGCAGCUGGGGGUGGCACUUAGGGCAGGAUUUUCCUGCGUUACUAUGGAAGAAAUGAUAGAGAUUUGAGAAAAAAAAUAUUGUCAUUUCUGCAGUAUUUCCCUAUAACUCAAUUCAGUCGUUUUCUGCCUCCUGCCACAGCGCGGUUGCAACUUGCAGCACGUCCUGCGUUUGAUGCUUUGGGUUAUUCAGCUGAAAAGAGGAGGGGAAGAGAACGUGCAGGCACAAUUACGGCCUUGUGCAAUCCCCUUGUGUACACUGCACGGGUUUGAAGAAAGACCUGCUG
RNAcentral lists this long non-coding RNA (918 nucleotides) under Gallus gallus (chicken). RNAcentral's name for it is "lncRNA (ENSGALG00010019541.1)". Lineage: Eukaryota; Metazoa; Chordata; Aves; Galliformes; Phasianidae. The record is from RNAcentral.